RNAcentral lists this ribosomal RNA (78 nucleotides) under Clostridium perfringens. RNAcentral's name for it is "partial 16S ribosomal RNA". It matches the Rfam family "Bacterial small subunit ribosomal RNA", at positions 1 to 76 of the family's 1533-position model. The record is from RNAcentral. Lineage: Bacteria; Bacillati; Bacillota; Clostridia; Eubacteriales; Clostridiaceae.
UUUAAAUUGAGAGUUUGAUCCUGGCUCAGGAUGAACGCUGGCGGCGUGCUUAACACAUGCAAGUCGAGCGAUGAAGUU